GUGCUCACUUUGGCAGCACAUACACUAAAACUGAAGCAAUGCAGAGAAGAUUAGCAUGGCCCGUGAGCAAGAAUGACACACAAAUUCAUGAAGCAGUUUAUAAUUUU
Hyaena hyaena (striped hyena) is the source of this 107-nucleotide small nuclear RNA. Lineage: Eukaryota; Metazoa; Chordata; Mammalia; Carnivora; Hyaenidae. The record is from RefSeq and is a predicted model, not a curated record.